GCCCUCGUAGUAUAGUAGCUAUUACGUUACCUUGGUAAGGUAAAGGUCGCGGGUGCAAAUCCCGUCGAGGGCU
This 73-nucleotide transfer RNA is filed under the name Candidatus Woesearchaeota archaeon CG10_big_fil_rev_8_21_14_0_10_34_8. Its description in RNAcentral is "tRNA-Thr". It matches the Rfam family "tRNA". From Rfam's summary of the family: Transfer RNA (tRNA) molecules are approximately 80 nucleotides in length. Their secondary structure includes four short double-helical elements and three loops (D, anti-codon, and T loops). Lineage: Archaea; Nanobdellati; Candidatus Woesearchaeota. The record is from RNAcentral.